This 467-nucleotide ribosomal RNA is filed under the name uncultured bacterium. Its description in RNAcentral is "partial 16S ribosomal RNA". It matches the Rfam family "Bacterial small subunit ribosomal RNA", at positions 28 to 507 of the family's 1533-position model. The record is from RNAcentral.
GACGAACGCUGGCGGCGUGCCUAACACAUGCAAGUCGAACGAUGACGACCGAUCUUGCUCGGUCUGAUUAGUGGCGAACGGGUGAGUAACACGUGAGCAACCUGCCCUUCACCCUAGGAUAACCUCAGGACAUCGAGGCUAAUACCGGCUAUGAGCUCCUGUCGCAUGGUGGGCGUUGGUAGGUUUUUCGGUGUAGGAUGGGAUCGGGCCCUAUCAGUUUGUUGGUGUGGUAGGGGCUCACCAAGGCGAUGACGGGUAGCAGGCCUGAGAGGGCGACCGGACACGCUGGGACUGAGACACGGCACAGACUCCAACGGGAGGCAGCGGUGGGGAAUAUUGCACAAUGGGCGAAAGCCUGGUGUAGCGACGCAGCGUGGGGGAUGACGGCCAGCGGGUUGUAAACCACUUUCAGCAGGGAAGAAGCGAAAGUGACGGUACCUGCAGAAGAAGCGCCGGCUAACUACGUG